RNAcentral lists this ribosomal RNA (253 nucleotides) under uncultured bacterium. Its description in RNAcentral is "partial 16S ribosomal RNA". It matches the Rfam family "Bacterial small subunit ribosomal RNA", at positions 524 to 776 of the family's 1533-position model. The record is from RNAcentral.
UACAGAGGUCUCAAGCGUUGUUCGGAUUCAUUGGGCGUAAAGGGUGCGUAGGCGGCGCGGUAAGUCGGGUGUGAAAUCUCGGGGCUUAACUCCGAAACUGCAUUCGAUACUGCCGUGCUUGAGGACUGGAGAGGAGACUGGAAUUUACGGUGUAGCGGUGAAAUGCGUAGAUAUCGUAAGGAAGACCAGUGGCGAAGGCAGCUCGCUGGAACGGUACUGACGCUGAGGCGCGAAAGCGUGGGGAGCGAACAGG